CCUGACGGCAGCGCCCGGCGGGGAGCGCCACCCGCGCAGUGCCGCGCCCAGACGGGACGGGUCGCGCAGGCAACAACACCCCGGCAUCGCUGAGGUGGAAUUCGGCAGUUGGCUACUACAAAGAACGAGCAACGAUCUGGACUCACGAGGACCUUCCUUGGAGUUGUACCAUUUUGAGCCCGAGUUCCUCUUUGCCUUAAAGACGUGGCAGGAUAGAUGAACAGCAUGGCUGACAUCUCCUCACACCACUCCCACCAGCUGAUGAGGAAGGGUCCACUGUACUCUGGAGUCCACUCACCCAUAAGAGGGCUGACCAGCUUAAGCGAAAGGGGAACUGAUGGUAAGACUGUUCUGCCAUUAACAAAGCCAAGUCUCAGGUGUUGGUUUUACACAGAUGUUUGUUUUAAACAGCCAUCAAAUCAGAAUGAUUUUCAGGAACAGCUGGAUUUAAAUUGCUGAGUUGGAGGGUGAAAGCCCUGUAUCCAGUUUCCAAUCAUUUUGGCUACCUGACAUCCUAGUACAGAAUAAAACAGUUACUCGUUGUCAGUCACAGCAUGGCUUUCAUUAGUUGAGAGCACGUGAAUGUUCAGGGGUCUGGCAAGUGGCUUGUUAUGCUGCCCAUGCUGGGAGCAGAAUUCUACUUCUUGUGAGACAGCAAUGCAAGUGCAGCUAGCGCUGCUCUGCUCCCAGUGUGUACAGGCUUUAUUCUAACUCAAAAGUCAUUUUGGGAAUUAAAGUGAUACUACCUAGGGGAGAAAAAGCAAACUUAAAACCUCAUCUUCAUGCCCGGGCACAGGGCCCCAGGCCCAGUCACCAUCAGCACACAUGC
This is a long non-coding RNA of Gavialis gangeticus (Gharial), 829 nucleotides long. RefSeq lists it as uncharacterized. The record is from RefSeq and is a predicted model, not a curated record. NCBI's taxonomy places the organism in Eukaryota, Metazoa, Chordata, Crocodylia, Gavialidae. The transcript has 3 exons.